Molecule: ribosomal RNA, 119 nt
Filed under: Microtus ochrogaster (prairie vole)
Lineage: Eukaryota; Metazoa; Chordata; Mammalia; Rodentia; Cricetidae
Source: RNAcentral
GUCUAUGGCCAUACCACCCUGAAUGCGCCCGAUCUCGUCUGAUCUCAGAAGCUAAGCAGGGUCGGGCCUGGUUAGUACUUGGAUGCGAGACCGCCUGGGAAUACCAGGAACUGUAGGCU